This 72-nucleotide transfer RNA is filed under the name Patescibacteria group bacterium. RNAcentral describes it as "tRNA-Arg". It matches the Rfam family "tRNA". From Rfam's summary of the family: Transfer RNA (tRNA) molecules are approximately 80 nucleotides in length. Their secondary structure includes four short double-helical elements and three loops (D, anti-codon, and T loops). The record is from RNAcentral. RNAcentral also lists the same sequence under 1 other name.
GCCCCUGUAGUUUAAUGGAUAAAACAUAGACCUCCGGAGUCUAAAAUACGGGUUCGAUUCCUGUCGGGGGCA